AGUGAACGCUGGCGGUAGGCCUAACACAUGCAAGUCGAACGGCAGCACAGUAAGAGCUUGCUCUUACGUGUGUCGAGUGGCGGACGGGUGAGUAAUACAUCGGAAUCUACUUUUUCGUGGGGGCUAACGUAGGGAAACUUACGCUAAUACCGCAUACGACCUACGGGUGAAAGCAGGGGAUCUUCGGACCUUGCGCGAUUGAAUGAGCCUAUGUCGGAUUAGCUAGUUGGCGGGGGAAAGGCCCACCAAGGCGACGAUCCGUAGCUGGUCUGAGAGGAUGAUCAGCCACACUGGAACUGAGACACGGUACAGACUCCUACGGGAGGAAGCAGUGGGGAAUAUUGGACAAUGGGCGCAAGCCUGAUCCAGCCAUACCGCGUGGGUGAAGAAGGACUUCGGGUUGUAAAGCCAUUUUGUUGGGAAAGAAAAGCAGCAGGUUAAUACCCCGCUGUUCUGACGGUACCCAAAGAAUAAGCACCGGCUAACUUCGUG
Molecule: ribosomal RNA, 492 nt
Filed under: uncultured bacterium
Lineage: Bacteria
Description: partial 16S ribosomal RNA
Rfam family: Bacterial small subunit ribosomal RNA
Source: RNAcentral